RNAcentral lists this ribosomal RNA (510 nucleotides) under uncultured bacterium. RNAcentral's name for it is "partial 16S ribosomal RNA". It matches the Rfam family "Bacterial small subunit ribosomal RNA", at positions 28 to 507 of the family's 1533-position model. The record is from RNAcentral.
GACGAACGCUGGCGGCGUGCCUAACACAUGCAAGUCGAACGAAGAGCGAUGGAUGCUUGCUUCUAUCAAUCUUAGUGGCGAACGGGUGAGUUACGCGUAAUCAACCUGCCCUUCAGAGGGGGACAACAGUUGGAAACGACUGCUAAUACCGCAUACGAUCUAAUCUCGGCAUCGAGGAUAGAUGAAAGGUUGCCUCUACAUGUAAGCUAUCACUGAAGGAGGGGAUUGCGUCUGCUUAGCUAGUUGGGGGGGUAACGGCCCACCAAGGCGAUGCUCAGUAGCCGGUCUGAGGGGAUGGACGACCAAAAUGGGACUGAGACACGGCCCAGACUCCUACGGGAGGCAGCAGUGGGGGAUCUUCCGCAAUGGACGAAAGUCUGACGGAGCAACGCCGCGGGAGGGAUGACGGCCUUCGGGUUGUAAAGCUCUGUUAAUCGGGACGAAAGGCCUUCUUGCGAAUAGUGAGAAGGAUUGACGGUACCGGAAUAGAAAGCCACGGCUAACUACGUG